UCUAUUUGUAGGAAAAAUAGUAGUACCUGCUCAAUGAUAAAUGGCUAUAGUAUUCUGACUAUACAAAGGUAGCAUAAUCACUUGUUUUUUAAUUGGGGACUAGAAUGAAAGGCUAAACUAAAGGAGAGGUUUUAUAUAUUGAAUUUUAGUUAAGAUUAAGAACGGUCUUAUUAAAUCCUGGGACGAGAAGACCCUAGAAGCUUUAGAGAUCUUUCGGUUGGGGCGACUAAGGAAUAUAAGAACUUUUUCAUAAGUUACUCUAGGGAUAACAGCGUAAUUAAAUUGAAGAGUUCUAAUUGAAUAUUUGGUUUGCGACCUCGAUGUUGAAUUAAGAGGUGUAGGAGCCUUAGUCUGUUCGACUAUUAAAAUCUUACA
Molecule: ribosomal RNA, 375 nt
Filed under: Paktongius sp. n. 2 LP-2022a
Lineage: Eukaryota; Metazoa; Arthropoda; Arachnida; Opiliones; Assamiidae
Description: partial large subunit ribosomal RNA
Rfam family: Bacterial large subunit ribosomal RNA
Source: RNAcentral